CCUACGUGUGGCAGCAGUGGGGAAUAUUGCGCAAUGGGCGAAAGCCUGACGCAGCGACGCCGCGUGAGGGAUGAAGGUCUUCGGAUCGUAAACCUCUGUCAGCAGGGAAGAACGGUCACUGUGCUAAUCAGCAGUGAAUUGACGGUACCUGCAACGGAAGCACCGGCUAACUCCGCGCCAACAGCCGCGGUAAUACGGCGGGUGCGAGCGUUAAUCGGAAUUACUGGGCGUAAAGCGCUCGUAGGCGGUAUGUCAAGUCAAGGGUGAAAUCCCCGCGCUCAACGUGGGAACUGCCUUUGAAACUGGCAAACUGGAGUGUGUGAGAGGAUAGUGGAAUGCCAGGUGUAGGAGUGAAAUCCGUAGAUAUCUGGAGGAACAUCAGUGGCGAAGGCGACUAUCUGGCACAUAACUGACGCUGAGGAGCGAAAGCGUGGGUAGCAAACAGGAUUAGAUACCCGUGUAGUC
This 465-nucleotide ribosomal RNA is filed under the name uncultured bacterium. RNAcentral's name for it is "partial 16S ribosomal RNA". It matches the Rfam family "Bacterial small subunit ribosomal RNA", at positions 338 to 795 of the family's 1533-position model. The record is from RNAcentral.